RNAcentral lists this long non-coding RNA (829 nucleotides) under Anolis carolinensis (green anole). RNAcentral's name for it is "lncRNA (ENSACAG00000029753.2)". Lineage: Eukaryota; Metazoa; Chordata; Lepidosauria; Squamata; Anolidae. The record is from RNAcentral.
CAAAAGCAAAAGCACUGGCUGAAAAAUUUUAAAAAGUAAACGAGAGAGAAAGAAAACAGAACUAAGAUAAGGAAGGAAGAGUUGCGGUUUAUUCUGACUUCGAAGGUUCAACCACAUUGGGACGGAACACAGGCCAAAGGAGUCUAAUUGAUGGAUAUACAGUUUCCAAGUUUCCAAUGGACCUCACGACCUCUGAGGAUGCCUGGCAUAGAUGUGGGCAAAACGUCAGGAGAGAAUGCUUCUGGAACAUGGCCAAACUCACAGCAACCCAAUGUAGACUACGGUAGUUUGUGGCACUUUCAAAUUUCCAUGAAACACAGAGACAAAUCCAUUUCGCAAAAGAAGAAACCUGCGAUAGAAAGACAUGAUAAGGACAGAAAUAUUUCUUUCUCUCUCAUCCAAGACCUUCAACAAUAGGGUUUUUUUUAAGUAUAUUGUUCCACUUUCAAUAAAGUUCUUCUUUUCUACUUUGCAAGAUGUCUCUUUGAUAUUACGAGGGUUGAAUGAAAAGUAAUGCCUCCACCUUCGUAACUCUUCAACAGACUGGCUUGUUCAGACGUGCAGUCACUGAAUUCUUUUUUUUUUUUUUUGGUGAAUUUUUUUAUUUUAUUUUACAGCAAAGCAUAAUACAUUCAAAGUGGUGGAACAAUAUAUCGAUAGAAAAGUGGGAAAAUACCAAGAGGAGGAAUAAUCAUAAAAAUAGAGACAAAAAAAAACAGAGAAGAGGGGAAAAAAUCACUUAGACUUCCCAUCUUGGCUUCGGAGUUGUCUCUUUCGUUAAUUGUGUCUUUGUGUAUUCCUGAUAACUUUUUCCCGUUUGGUCCGCUCU